This 1276-nucleotide ribosomal RNA is filed under the name uncultured bacterium. RNAcentral's name for it is "bacterial SSU rRNA". It matches the Rfam family "Bacterial small subunit ribosomal RNA", at positions 67 to 1340 of the family's 1533-position model. The record is from RNAcentral.
CGGUAGCAUGGUAUGUAGCAAUACAUACUGAUGACGAGCGGCGGACGGGUGAGGAAAACGUAGGAACUUGCCUUUUAGUGGGGGAUAACUAAGGGAAACUUUAGCUAAUACCGCAUAUUUUCGAGAGAAGAAAGCUGCCGUAAGGUGGCGCUAGAAGAGAGGCCUGCGUCCGAUUAGCUAGUUGGUGGGGUAAGAGCCCACCAAGGCGAUGAUCGGUAACUGGUCUGAGAGGACGACCAGUCACACUGGGACUGAGACACGGCCCAGACUCCUACGGGAGGCAGCAGUGGGGAAUAUUGGACAAUGGGGGCAACCCUGAUCCAGCGAUGCCGCGUGAGUGAAGAAGGCCCUCGGGUCGUAAAGCUCUUUAGGUUGGGAAGAAGUGUGGUGGAGGAAAUGCUGCCACAUUGACGGUACCGACAGAAUAAGCACCGGCAAACUCUGUGCCAGCAGCCGCGGUAAUACAGAGGGUGCGAGCGUUAAUCGGAUUUACUGGGCGUAAAGGGCGCGUAGGCGGUUAUAUGAGUGUGAUGUGAAAGCCCUGGGCUUAACCUGGGAAGUGCAUCGCAAACGAUAUAACUGGAGUAUAUGAGAGGGUGGCGGAAUUUCCGGUGUAGCGGUGAAAUGCGUAGAGAUCGGAAGGAACGUCAAUGGCGAAGGCAGCCACCUGGCAUAAUACUGACGCUGAGGCGCGAAAGCGUGGGGAGCGAACAGGAUUAGAUACCCUGGUAGUCCACGCUGUAAACGAUGAGGACUAAAUGUUGGUAGGGGAAUCUAUCAGUAUUGAAGCUAACGCGAUAAGUCUUCCGCCUGGGAAGUACGGCCGCAAGGUUGAAACUCAAAUGAAUUGACGGGGGCCCGCACAAGCGGUGGAGCAUGUGGUUUAAUUCGAUGCAACGCGAAGAACCUUACCUACCCUUGACAUCCUGCGAAUCUGGCUUAGUAGCUGGAGUGCCGAAAGGAACGCAGAGACAGGUGCUGCAUGGCUGUCGUCAGCUCGUGUUGUGAGAUGUUGGGUUAAGUCCCGUAACGAGCGCAACCCUUGUCCUUAGUUGCCAUCAUUUAGUUGGGGACUCUAAGGAGACUGCCGGUGAGGAACCGGAGGAAGGCGGGGACGACGUCAAGUCAUCAUGGCCUUUAUGGGUAGGGCUACACACGUGCUACAAUGGGGCGUACAGAGGGUAGCCAACCCGCGAGGGGGAGCCAAUCUCUUAAAGCGUCUCGUAGUCCGGAUUGGAGUCUGCAACUCGACUCCAUGAAGUUGGAAUCGCUAGUA